AUGUGUUCAUUCCAGAAGAUUAUGUUAGAAAGAGAAGGCUUGAGAAAAAGCUCAAAAGCACGGUGGUGGCUUCAACAAAAAGCUCCCAAACACAUUCACGUGAGAGGAUUGAGAAUAAUAAAGACAAGUCCUUCACUCCUUAUCAUCCACAUGAUCAUCUUUUUAUUUGCUUCUCUGCUUAAUUCAUUUCUACUCCUAUUUUUGUUAGUAGUUUUGGAACUUUCUACCUUCUUCAACUUUUUCUAUACAUGGAGUUGUUAG
Vicia faba (fava bean) is the source of this 261-nucleotide non-coding RNA. The record is from the annotation of a GenBank genome assembly. NCBI's taxonomy places the organism in Eukaryota, Viridiplantae, Streptophyta, Magnoliopsida, Fabales, Fabaceae.